CGUGUGUGUGUUUGAUCAGAGAAGAGAAAGAAAGGGGGAACCCCUCGUGAACCCUAAUCAACGAAAUUGGAUGCGAAUUGGGCUGAAUUCGAACUUGCAUGAGUCGAAAUAGUGAUUAUCUAAGCAAGCUUUAGCCAAGCAUUAGGGAUCACAUGGAAAUGGACUCAAGCAAGAAAGACUAACGGGUUAAGAGGGGACAAGGAAGCCAAUGAGAAAACGGACGCUCAAGUUAAGUGACUUCCAUAAUCGCUUCUUAGUUUGUUUAAGUAAUAUAAUGUCUAAUUAUUAAGUUCAUAUGAAGUUGAGGUCAAAUCAAUAGAUUAUUUUGAUAAAUGCAUGAACGGGUCGAAUAAUUCGUAAAUGAAUAAUAAGCCGAACAUGAAUAAGUUAAGAAAUUCCUUAACUCAGAUGUUGGAUUUCAAGUUCACAUGAUAGAAUGUUAAUUUACAAUCAUGUAGGAAGAAACGGGAGGUUAAUCGGGUGAACGGUUUGAAAGUUACGCAAGUUUUAGCGUAAACGGACGAAACAAAGAUGCAGGUGCCGUAAAUUACGCCCCAGGCCGGAAUUUACAGCCUCCCCUGCAUCAGAAUCAUGUUUGAGGCUGUAAUCAGUAGGUAGGUCAUACUUUAGGCCGUAUUUUAGGCCGUAUUUUACUGGGCAGGCUGUAAUUUAUGUUCCCCGGAGGUUUGGGCGGUUUCCUUUUAUUAGAUUGUGACCAAAUGUGCUAAACAUGCGAAUGGGUGGGAAUUGUUUAUAAGUAGUCUAUUAUCGAAUGGUCAUAUGCAUGACUAGGGAGGUGUGUUAAUUAAGUUGAAGUGAAUAGGAUGGUGUGUAGGUAUGAAUAAUUGGUGUCAUGGUGAGUUUAAAUCGUAUAAACUAGUAUGCAUGAUGUGUAUGGAAGAUAUAUAUAUAUAUAUAUAUGCAUGUUCAUAGUUAUGCGAAAGGCGUGCAUUGUGUGAUAGUUAAAUAGAUGUAUAUAAACGGUUGGCAUCCUUUUUACGAAGAUGUAGUACUUGAACAUGUUGAGAUUACGGGUUUGCUAACCAAGUUAUUAUUGAGUAUGUUUGAAAGUGCAGGUUUAUGUAUGUCGGACUUUCGAAGUGUUGAUAUAGAAAUAAAACGAUUGAAUGUUGGAAGGAUAAUUGGGUGGAAGUAACUUAUGCGGUUAGAGUACGCUAUGGACGUUUUAGUUUAUACAAUAUUUUAUGCUUGGUCGUCAUCAUCUACUAACGGGUAAAUCCUCAAUUUAGGCGACUUGGAGAAUCGGAGCGAGCGCGUGUUCAUGUUAUGUCAUACCAAACGCUUCCGCUAGCUUGUCCAAAUGUUUUUGGUCCAAAAUUUGUUGUAAUGGUUUUUAGUAGUAUUUUGUUGAACAAAUUGUAGAAUUGUAUCUAGUUUGAUUAUGAUUAAAACAGGGGUAUGCCCGUUUUACGGACGGGUCAUGCCCAAAUUUUGUUAAAA
Molecule: long non-coding RNA, 1461 nt
Organism: Helianthus annuus (common sunflower)
Lineage: Eukaryota; Viridiplantae; Streptophyta; Magnoliopsida; Asterales; Asteraceae
Exons: 3
Source: RefSeq, a predicted model, not a curated record